GCCCGGAUGGUCUAGUGGUAUGAUUCCUGCUUCGGGUGCAGGAGGUCCCGCGUUCGAAUCGCGGUUCGGGCC
RNAcentral lists this transfer RNA (72 nucleotides) under Aspergillus niger. Its description in RNAcentral is "tRNA-Pro". It matches the Rfam family "tRNA". From Rfam's summary of the family: Transfer RNA (tRNA) molecules are approximately 80 nucleotides in length. Their secondary structure includes four short double-helical elements and three loops (D, anti-codon, and T loops). Lineage: Eukaryota; Fungi; Ascomycota; Eurotiomycetes; Eurotiales; Aspergillaceae. The record is from RNAcentral. RNAcentral also lists the same sequence under 5 other names.